This 478-nucleotide ribosomal RNA is filed under the name uncultured bacterium. RNAcentral describes it as "partial 16S ribosomal RNA". It matches the Rfam family "Bacterial small subunit ribosomal RNA", at positions 28 to 523 of the family's 1533-position model. The record is from RNAcentral.
GACGAACGCUGGCGGCGUGCCUAACACAUGCAAGUCGAACGGUAAGGCCCUUCGGGGUACACGAGUGGCGAACGGGUGAGUAACACGUGGGUGAUCUGCCCUGCACUUCGGGAUAAGCCUGGGAAACUGGGUCUAAUACCGGAUAGGACCCUGGGAUGCAUGUCCUGGGGUGGAAAGCUGUUGCGGUGUGGGAUGGGCCCGCGGCCUAUCAGCUUGUUGGUGGGGUGAUGGCCUACCAAGGCGACGACGGGUAGCCGGCCUGAGAGGGUGACCGGCCACACUGGGACUGAGAUACGGCCCAGACUCCUACGGGAGGCAGCAGUGGGGAAUAUUGCACAAUGGGCGCAAGCCUGAUGCAGCGACGCCGCGUGAGGGAUGACGGCCUUCGGGUUGUAAACCUCUUUCAGCACCGACGAAGCGCAAGUGACGGUAGGUGCAGAAGAAGGACCGGCCAACUACGUGCCAGCCGCCGCGGUAA